Molecule: long non-coding RNA, 390 nt
Organism: Dicentrarchus labrax (European seabass)
Lineage: Eukaryota; Metazoa; Chordata; Actinopteri; Moronidae
Exons: 2
Source: RefSeq, a predicted model, not a curated record
AUAACUCCUGGGAAGAAGAGGACUGGGAGGAAAGGGGGAGGUGUAUGUAAAAGAGAGAAGAGUGAGAAACAACAGUGUACACAGGACAACUCUGGGAAAGGCAUCUGAGGAUUCAUUCCUACUUCCUGCCUGCAGUGGAAAGUGUGAUAAAAGGCUGAUGAUGGAGAGAUGCAUCAUCGUUGGACAUAUCCUGUUAUGACUGAGUCAUUAAAAGAUACAACAUCCAUCACCAGUCAGCUGUUUUUGUAAAUCAACUGGCUGCAGAAAGCAUGGUCGACCAGACCAUGCUUUGUGAGGUACCAGUGUUGUGAUGAUGGUGUGAGAAUGUAUUCUGUGUCUUUGCUUGCAGCGGUUUAACUAAUUAUGACAUUAAACUAGCGGUUUAACUAA